This is an RNA transcript of Polypterus senegalus (gray bichir), 2391 nucleotides long. It is a transcript of the gene named tumor necrosis factor ligand superfamily member 6-like, with no coding region annotated. The transcript has 4 exons. NCBI's taxonomy places the organism in Eukaryota, Metazoa, Chordata, Cladistia, Polypteriformes, Polypteridae. The record is from RefSeq and is a predicted model, not a curated record.
AAUGCCAUUUAAUUGCCAGUCAGGAGUUGUAAACGGGGAUAGCGAACGGGAGGGAUAAGUGCUCUGCAAAUUUUUCUGCCGAAUAAUCAUGACAGUUUUGAACGGCAAGGAGCCGGCGCAACAGGGUGUUUCUUCCAAUCAAGGGCGACUGGUCCACUGCCUGCUCUUCUGGGUCGUGCUGCUGUCGACCCUACAGAUCCUCACGUUGGCGGUCUUCUUCGCUGUCGUGUAUCCGCAGAUAUCUGUGAAAUCUGACUUGCCAAGUGGAUUUUUUACUGAAGGGAGGAAAGGGGAGGUUAAAGAAAAGAUUUCAUGGAAGCAGAAACCUGGGAUGUUAUCAAACGUGAACCUAAUAAAUGACAGCUUACAGAUUCCAAAGGAUGGCCUUUAUUACCUGUACACAAAAAUCAGCUUGGUGAAGAAUACAACUGGAAACGAGAGCAAUACUUCCAGACACUUUAUAAAAGUGAAACGGAUGGAUGGAAGUGAUGAAACGGAUGAAUCUCUUCUUCUAACGGUUGACAUCAUAGAUGGUGGUCCACACCAAGCUUCUACCUCGGGGUAUAUCGGCGGCCAGUUUCUACUUAAUGCUGGAGACUUAGUUUAUGUUAAUUGUUAUCCACCCGCUAAAAUAGACUCAAACGAUUCUGAGACAUAUUUUGGCAUUUAUAUGCUGAAGGAAGUGUAAUGUUUUUUUGGAUUUUUAUUCUCUCUCUGUCUCUCUCUCUGUCUGUCUGUGUCCUGAAGCCCUCCCCACAUCUCGCUCCAACACCAGGAUUUACUUGUGCUGUAUGCUGGAGGACAUGGACAGAAUCUGGUGUUGUCAUGCCAAUGUCUGUUUGAUGCUGGAGUACAAUCACUCUGUCUUUGAAGACAAUGCAGUCUGCGUCUUGGCUUACUAAUCAACAUGACACAAGCUGAGGCUUAGCAUUUGCUAUUCAGGCUCUCUUGAUGCGGACUUGCUGUACAAUCUGAACUCCCAAAGAUCUUUAAAAACCUACAAAACUAACAUACUGAUGUUCGUGACAUCAACCUUUAAAGUAUUUGUUAGGCAGAGAGUUUCCUGUCGGAGCUUUUCAUGUGACUUUGUUUAAAUGGCUUUCUUUUUAUAAUGAAUAUUUAUGUGAUCCAUGUUUCUAAAAAUUGGUAAUUAUCAGUCCUAUCAUGCUCUGAGGUGGUUACAUUGUCCUAUCACCUAAUGACAAAUUGUAAGCUUUAUAUUUAUGCAUCUUCCAGUUUAGCAGCCUUUCUGUGCUAUUCAUAUAUUUAUUGAAUAUUAUCUUAAUGUGUAGAAUUGUUCUAUAUGAGAUUUACAUCUGCUUGUGGACUGAUGACAUUGAAUAGGUGAGUGAAGAGCCACAGCCCUUCCCAGCAGGGUACAAAUGUGGCACUGGGCACCAGUGUGUCCUCUACUCUCGGAGGUAAAGCUGCCAAUUCUGAUUCUAGAGCUCUGGAUGCCACUGCAGCAUGACACUGAUGUGGAGUGCUGGCGAUGCCAUUCUGUGUCACAGGAACUGCUGCAUUAACUUGAAUCAGCUUGUCCUUGCAGUGACAUGAGCACAUGGAUGCUUGCCUCCCAGAUAAGUAGGACGUUGACUGGAUGUCUUUAAAGCGAGCUGGUGCCCUUCUGGUGUGUGGUAUAACAUUGAUUUUGUUAAUUUAGUGUCAUUUCGAAGUACACAUUUAAAAAAAAAAAAAAUCUUGUCUUCCAAAGCAGGAUUUACAGUUUGUUGCACUUCAUAAUUCAUUUCACUUUUAGUACUUGUCUGCUUUUCUUGCUUCUUAAAAGCUGUUGUGGGCUUCCUUCCCUUUUGUCCUUAAUCCUGCUGGGCAGGAACAAACCAGAUUACGUAACCCUGUGGCACACGGCAGGCUGAGCGUCAGUUUGUACUUCAGUUUUUAUGAUGCCACGCACCAGUAGCUUAUACACCAUUAAACCUUAAAAUGACAUUUGCAUGGCCGUCAGCGAGAUCUUCGCCGUGAGCUGCUGUAGGAGGGCAGAUGCUGUCAGCCCCACGUACCGUCUGAAGGAGUGAGCUGUUGGCCACGAUUUGCAGUCGUAUUUAUUUUAUGUCUUUUUGUGUAAAGUUGUUGUUUUAACAUAUUUUGCAAAGGUGCAAUUUCAUGGUGGCUGGACCAAAAAUUUGUAUACCUUUUUGCCUUCAUAUAAAUUGUAUAAAUUUUGUAAUAUAUUUCAAUGUAUUUAUUUGUAUAUGUAUUUGCACAUUCAUAAUCUGUUUUUGCUGGGCUUUUAAAACUUAAAACGAGCCUUAUUUGAUAUUUUAUCCUAUAAUGUGCAACAUUUACCCCACUUCUAAAGUAUUUCUUUGUGUUUUUGAUUUCUGUUGUAUAAUUUUAAAUUCAUGAACUAUUUUUAUUAGUUUUCCUCUG